CGCCACUGUGGGGUCCGGGACGGGCCGCGGGCUCUGUGGUGGCGAGUUGUGGCGGAGCCCCGCGGCCGCCGGCGGCCUCGGCUGGUGCCUCUGGUGUUCGCCGCGUUUCGGUUUCCCCACGCAGGCGCGUGGGUGUCGGCCUCAAAGCCCCUGUAAAAGUUGGAGUGUGCYAUUUUGAAUGCGCCCUUACAAGUUUUACUUACUCUCCCGCGUAUUUAAGAUCUCAGCUACCCUCUAAUUACGCAGAACUAUUCAUGGUAUCUUCUGAAGCCAGGAUGGGAAAGGAGUCCAAUCAGGAGUCCAGCCAGAACUCUGAAGGAUGCAGGACUAGUCUCAGGUAUAAAACAGAAACGGUUCUGGUCGAAUCUAAUGCCUGUGAGGUUUUCCUGGCAUACAACACAGCCCCAUCCUGCUUUAUCCUGCAUCUGGUAUGGAUAUUGUACUGUAGAUAAGCUGCACUAGCUUUAUACCCACUGCCUGCAUGAGAAUCUUCUCUGGAGAAA
RNAcentral lists this long non-coding RNA (503 nucleotides) under Apteryx rowi (Okarito brown kiwi). Its description in RNAcentral is "lncRNA (ENSARWG00000018154.1)". Lineage: Eukaryota; Metazoa; Chordata; Aves; Apterygiformes; Apterygidae. The record is from RNAcentral.